This 437-nucleotide ribosomal RNA is filed under the name uncultured bacterium. RNAcentral's name for it is "bacterial SSU rRNA". It matches the Rfam family "Bacterial small subunit ribosomal RNA", at positions 962 to 1393 of the family's 1533-position model. The record is from RNAcentral.
CGAAGAACCUUACCAAGGCUUGACAUCGCCGGAAAACUCGCAGAGAUGCGGGGUCCUUUUGGGCCGGUGACAGGUGGUGCAUGGCUGUCGUCAGCUCGUGUCGUGAGAUGUUGGGUUAAGUCCCGCAACGAGCGCAACCCUCGUUCCAUGUUGCCAGCAACCUCUUCGGAGGGUUGGGGACUCAUGGGAGACUGCCGGGGUCAACUCGGAGGAAGGUGGGGAUGACGUCAAGUCAUCAUGCCCCUUAUGUCUUGGGCUGCAAACAUGCUACAAUGGCCGGUACAGAGGGCUGCGAUACCGUAAGGUGGAGCGAAUCCCUUAAAGCCGGUCUCAGUUCGGAUUGGGGUCUGCAACUCGACCCCAUGAAGUCGGAGUCGCUAGUAAUCGCAGAUCAGCAACGCUGCGGUGAAUACGUUCCCGGGUCUUGUACACACCGA